Long non-coding RNA from Oryctolagus cuniculus (rabbit), 1853 nucleotides. The record is from Ensembl. Lineage: Eukaryota; Metazoa; Chordata; Mammalia; Lagomorpha; Leporidae.
AGUGAUUUCUUGUGACCAUUUGCUCAGCCAAACUGGGAGGCAGAGAUGUGCAGAAAGUUAGCACAUUAAAGACCUAUGAAGUUUCAGACACAGCUAUUCAUGCUCGCUGUUCCCACCACGGUGAGUCAUGCCGAUUUGCCACUAUAAGAAAACUACAGGUGGCACAGAGACACGGAUGCAUCACCUCGUCUUCACAUUGAGAACCAGGUUCCUUCAACGUGGUUCAACUUCUCUGCACUAACCUGAGCAAGUACAUUCACAAAUAAUCCAAAAGUGUGUAUUAAUUUUUUUGACAGGCAGAGUUAGACAGUGAGAGAGAGAGACAGAGAGAAAGGUCUUCCUUCCGUUGGUUCACCCCCCAAGUGGCCACUAUGGCCAGCGCACUGUGGCCGUUCUGCUGCGUCGAUCUGAAGCCAGGAGCCAGGUGCUUGCUCCUGGUCUCCCAUGCGGAUACUGACACAUGAACACUUUUGGGCCUUUGUGGGGGCGUUACUGCAACAGCAGCUCUGCUGAGACACAACAGACUUACUUUCCUGCAGCUGAAGUAAGUAUUUCAACAUUGACGUUAAGACGUCCUCUGAGCCUGAUCUCAGAGAAGCAGGAAGCUACUAUUUUUAGCGGGGGAAAAUAUCAACAUGAGACAAAGAGAAUAACUUGUGGCCAAGAUUCUACUAUUUCUCCAAGUUACACAAUAUUAAUAAUGUCCAACUGCUCCCUAAGCAAUGGGCAAAUCCCUCUGGGCAUUGUCCUGACUCAAUCCAGCAUUCAAGUAAUGCAGCAAAGUUGCCAGAAUGCAGUGAGAGUAGAUGAUUUUGUGGAUAACUUUCAUCCUGAGAACCACAGUUGUCCCUGAAUAUCCACAGGGGGUUGAUUCCAGAAACAUGCACAGAUACCAAAAUCCAAGGAUGCCCAAGUCUCUAAUAGAAAAUGGAGUAGUACUUACAUAUGACCUACAUAUAUCCUCUAGUGUGCUGUAAAUCAUCUCUAGAUUAUUUGUAAUACCUGAUACAAGUUUAUACCUCCCACUUAAUUCACAUGGAUUCAAUAUAAUGCUUGAUGUGUGAUAAAUUCAAGUUUUUCUUUUUAGAACUUUUUAAAAGAUUUAUUUAUUUAUUUGAAAGGCAGAGUUACAGAGAGGCAGAGGGGGAGAAUUACAGAGAGGCAGAGGAGGAGAGAGAGAGAGAAAGUCUUCCAUCCGCUGGUUCUUUCUCUGGAUGCCUGCAAUGGCUGGAGCUGCACCAGUAGGAAGCAAGGAGCCAGGAGCUUCUUCUGGGUCCUCCAUGUGGGUUCAGGGACCCAAGAACUUGAGCCAUCUUCCACUGCUUUCCCAGGCCAUAGCAGAGAGCUGGAUUGAAAGUGGAGUAGCCGGGACUUGAACUGGUGCCAUAUGGGAAUCCAGCACUACAGGAGGUGGCUUUACCUGCUGCACCAUUUUACUAGCCCCCCAAAUAUUUUUGAUCUGUGGUUGGCUGAAUCCAUGGAUAUGGAGAACGUAUGGUUUACAGGGCUGUAACCUGAACCUGCGCUACCAUGACUGCCCUAUCUACUAUGGAAAAGUUCAAUGUGUGUAAGAUUAGAGGGCUCUUCCUGGUACCUGGAUCCUACCUGUGGAUAGCAACUAACUUUUCCCACAGCUGCCUGGUCCAUCUUACCUUCUCUUGCUUUUGAGGUUGCACUUGACUCAGCUGCCAAGUUUCCCUACUGGCCUGACUGGACAGCUGUGGAAGCACUUGUAAAGUGUCUAGAGUAUCCUCAGUUAUUACUGCUUACAGAAGAGAGCACUGACAUAAAACAAAACACAGACACAACGAGUAGUCACUUCCCAGAACUUCUGCUUUGCAACUGCUAUGUUU